UACGAAGGGGGCUAGCGUUGUUCGGAAUUACUGGGCGUAAAGCGCACGUAGGCGGAUACUUAAGUUAGGGGUGAAAUCCCAGAGCUCAACUCUGGAACUGCCUCUAAUACUGGGCAUCUCGAGUCCGGAAGAGGUGAGUGGAAUUCCGAGUGUAGAGGUGAAAUUCGUAGAUAUUCGGAGGAACACCAGUGGCGAAGGCAGCUCGCUGGGACGGUACUGACGCUGAGGCGCGAAAGCGUGGGGAGCGAACAGG
Molecule: ribosomal RNA, 253 nt
Filed under: uncultured bacterium
Lineage: Bacteria
Description: partial 16S ribosomal RNA
Rfam family: Bacterial small subunit ribosomal RNA
Source: RNAcentral